UGACAGGGCAGGUUGUACCAUUGCGCUCAGAGCUGUAUUCUUUGCUCCACUGACUUUGUCCCCACGCAGUGAAAGCACAAUGGAUAAAAUGGGAAAGAUACACUGCCAGAAGAUACAAAGCAGAAGAAACAACCAUUCUCUUUUGGCUUGAAAGUAUCAGAAUUGUUGUCAUCCCUCACAAAUAUUAAAAAUGAGCAGCAAAAGUACCCACCACUUUUGGAGAAAUCCCUCAUCUCUCUCUUCUAUGCUAUACAGUCAGCAGUAAGAUCUAAUAUUUGCGAUGCUGCAGCAUGUAACAAACACAAGUGUCUUUCUAAUGUGUCUAUUAGUAUCAUUUGUUACAAAUAGAUGUUGAAAAUUAAAAUGCUGAAUCACCAAGCAGAGGAA
This is a long non-coding RNA of Tyto alba (common barn owl), 387 nucleotides long. RefSeq lists it as uncharacterized. Lineage: Eukaryota; Metazoa; Chordata; Aves; Strigiformes; Tytonidae. The record is from RefSeq and is a predicted model, not a curated record. The transcript has 3 exons.